RNAcentral lists this long non-coding RNA (712 nucleotides) under Homo sapiens (human). RNAcentral describes it as "HSALNT0335055". The record is from RNAcentral. Lineage: Eukaryota; Metazoa; Chordata; Mammalia; Primates; Hominidae.
CUUCCCUCCGCAGCGGCUCGCGCAGCUCCGCUCUUGCGCCCCGCGCCCGGCUCAGCGGACGGACUAGCGCGCCCGGUCAAGAAUCCUGGGGAACCCGCUCCGCCCCCUGGCUCCAGCGCCCUCCAAUGAUGUCGGCGUACAGAGGGCUGUUCCGCCCAAUCAGGUGUCGGAAAGCCCAGCCAGUCCCCGGGAGUGUAGCCAAUAGAAGGCGACUCCGGCAACACACCCGCCCUGAUCCACUAGGAACAAACCGCUCCGAGCCCGGGUGGUGGGACCGAUCCUGGAGCCCAGAUCAAGCCAAGUCCGGCCAAAGCUGUGUCGCAAAAAUCUCGAGCUAUUAGAAAGGCAGUUCUGGGAAAUGAUGCAAAUACACAGGGUGAUGUCCUUCUCCCCAUCAUCCCAGUGUGAAACUUGUGGUCUCUUAGGAAGAUUCCGGGGUAGGAAAACAACAGAAAGAAAAGUCGUUCUGAUUUCUAACCUCACAUUCAACAAUACUGGGUGUUGGAAUUAAGUUUCGCUGAUUUGCGCCAAGAGAGAUGUGUCACUGUCACCCAUAAGAAGCUUGGUGCUUCCUGCUGACCUACUUCCUUACAAAAUAACACAACAAUCAGCUGGUCAUGCAGAUCUUAUUGAAACUAAGAAAGAGUGCCAUCUGUCGUUGUGUAUGAUAUGUUCUUCAGUAUCAAUCUUAGAUUGCGUUGUGGUACUCAAA